Molecule: ribosomal RNA, 274 nt
Filed under: uncultured bacterium
Lineage: Bacteria
Description: partial 16S ribosomal RNA
Rfam family: Bacterial small subunit ribosomal RNA
Source: RNAcentral
AUACGGAGGAGGCUAGCGUUGUUCGGAAUUACUGGGCGUAAAGCGCACGUAGGCGGAUUAAAAAGUUAGAGGUGAAAUCCCAGGGCUCAACCCUGGAACUGCCUUUAAAACUAGUAGUCUAGAGUUCGAGAGAGGUGAGUGGAAUUCCAAGUGUAGAGGUGAAAUUCGUAGAUAUUUGGAGGAACACCAGUGGCGAAGGCGGCUCACUGACUCGAUACUGACGCUGAGGUGCGAAAGCGUGGGGAGCAAACAGGAUUAGAAACCCCGGUAGUCC